Long non-coding RNA from Cannabis sativa, 830 nucleotides. RefSeq lists it as uncharacterized. The record is from RefSeq and is a predicted model, not a curated record. NCBI's taxonomy places the organism in Eukaryota, Viridiplantae, Streptophyta, Magnoliopsida, Rosales, Cannabaceae. The transcript has 3 exons.
UUAUUUAAUUUAAUACAUCUCGCUCUCUCUCGAAAAAUAAUAAUAAAAAAAAAACAUAUCUCUCUCUAUUUAUAUCAUCCAAUUCUUUCUUAUAUGCGAUAACUUAGAAGAGUAUAGAGAAAGAAAGAAUUUCAACAAGGAGAGCAGAAAGAAGAAAUCUAGUGUGAUCUAAAAGAGUACUAGUGCGCGGCCUCAUCUUAUGAUCUCAUGCACCUCCAACUGUUGAAGCUGCCAGCAUGAUCUACCCUUUGCUACAAAUUAAUAAUUAAUUAAGAACAGAGUAGAUCAUGUGGCAGUUUCAUCUGUUGAUGGGAAGCAUGAUACAAAAUAACCCUAUUAAAAUCCUUAAUCUCAUCACCUUGCCUCUUCUGACCUUUCUUCCCUCUAUUAGGAUAUUGUUUUUAGCAGUACUAUUGGCGAUCAGUGUGCCUAAAUCAACUAGGUGUGGUGUGAUUUCUCUAAAAUUUAUUACUAAAUUACAUUUGAGAAUUUAAGCAACACGGGGCGGUUUAGAAAAAAUUAAGUUAUGGAGGCGGAGAUGGCUUCGGAAAGUGUGCCAUAAUAAUAUUGUUCAGCUAGUUUUUCUGAUGCACAUCUCUCGGUAUGUAAAAUUAUCUGUUUCAGAUUUUUAAGGAUAUAUGUACUUCCAGACUUAAUUAUUAUUUCAUGUAUAUGCUUACGCCUAUAUAUAUAUAUGUAUUUCUUUUUUGCUAAGAUGGUUCAAAAGAAUAUAUGUUAUUGUUGUGAGCAUAUAUGUACACUAUAGCUCUAUAGCAGUGCCAGAGCUAUUACGUGAUGAUUUAUAUAUUAAUUUAAACAUGGGUUUGAAA